Psammomys obesus (fat sand rat) is the source of this 106-nucleotide small nuclear RNA. The record is from RefSeq and is a predicted model, not a curated record. Lineage: Eukaryota; Metazoa; Chordata; Mammalia; Rodentia; Muridae.
GUGCUAGCUUCUACAGCACAUAUAUGAAAAUGCAAUGAUACAGAGAAGGUUAGCAUAGCCCCUGCCCAAGGAUGACAUGAAAAGUUGUGAAUAGUCCACAUUUUUU